GGGGGUGUAGCUCAGUUGGUUAGAGCGCUGGCCUGUCACGCCAGAGGCCGCGGGUUCGAGUCCCGUCACUCCCG
This is a transfer RNA of 74 nucleotides. It matches the Rfam family "tRNA". From Rfam's summary of the family: Transfer RNA (tRNA) molecules are approximately 80 nucleotides in length. The record is from Rfam.